Molecule: ribosomal RNA, 402 nt
Filed under: uncultured bacterium
Lineage: Bacteria
Description: bacterial SSU rRNA
Rfam family: Bacterial small subunit ribosomal RNA
Source: RNAcentral
UGAGGAAUCUUCCGCAAUGGGCGCAAGCCUGACGGAGCAACGCCGCGUGGAGGAUGACGGCCUUCGGGUUGUAAACUCCUUCUCUAUCCGACGAGAACGGACGGUAGGGUAGGAAGAAGUCUCGGCUAACUACGUGCCAGCAGCCGCGGUAAUACGUAGGAGACGAGCGUUGUCCGGAGUUACUGGGCGUAAAGGGUGCGCAGGCGGCUUCGCGCGUGUGCGGUGAAAUCUCCUGGCUCAACUGGGAGGGUGCCGUGCAGACGGCGGAGCUUGAGGGUCGGAGAGGGGCGUGGAAUUCCGGGUGGAGCGGUGAAAUGCGUAGAGAUCCGGAGGAACACCGACGGCGAAGGCAGCGCCCUGGCCGACACCUGACGCUCAGGCACGAAAGCUGGGGGAGCGAAC